This 301-nucleotide ribosomal RNA is filed under the name uncultured bacterium. RNAcentral's name for it is "partial 16S ribosomal RNA". It matches the Rfam family "Bacterial small subunit ribosomal RNA", at positions 509 to 809 of the family's 1533-position model. The record is from RNAcentral.
CAGUCGCCGCGGGAAUACGGAGGGUGCAAGCGUUAAUCGGAAUUACUGGGCGUAAAGCGCACGCAGGCGGUCUGACAAGUCAGAUGUGAAAUCCCCGGGCUUAACCUGGGAACUGCAUUUGAAACUGUCAGGCUGGAGUCUUGUAGAGGGGGGUAGAAUUCCAGGUGUAGCGGUGAAAUGCGUAGAGAUCUGGAGGAAUACCGGUGGCGAAGGCGGCCCCCUGGACAAAGACUGACGCUCAGGUGCGAAAGCGUGGGGAGCAAACAGGAUUAGAUACCCGCGUAGUCCCUGUCUCUUAUAA